Molecule: ribosomal RNA, 402 nt
Filed under: uncultured bacterium
Lineage: Bacteria
Description: bacterial SSU rRNA
Rfam family: Bacterial small subunit ribosomal RNA
Source: RNAcentral
GUCUCGGCUAACUACGUGCCAGCAGCCGCGGUAAAACGUAGGAGGCGAGCGUUAUCCGGAUUCACUGGGCGUAAAGCGCGUGCAGGUGGCUUGGUAAGUUAGGCGUGAAAUCUCCCGGCUCAACUGGGAGAGGUCGUCUAAUACUACCGGGCUUGAGAGCAGAAGAGGAAGAUGGAAUUCCCGGUGUAGUGGUGAAAUGCGUAGAUAUCGGGAGGAACACCAGUGGCGAAGGCGAUCUUCUGGUCUGUUUCUGACACUCAGACGCGACAGCUAGGGUAGUAAACGGGAUUAGAGACCCCGGUAAUCCUAGCCGUAAACGAUGUAAACUUGGCGUUGGUGGGUUAAACUCCAUCAGUGCCGCAGCAAACGCGAUAAGUUUACCGCCUGGGGACUACGGCCGCA